CUACGGGGCGCAGCAGUCGAGGAAAUUUUUCAAUGCCCGCAAGGGUGAACGAGUAAGCCAGAGUGUUUUCUUUACGAAAACUUUUGUCUGUUGUAAAAAGACAGACGAAUAAGGACUGGGCAAGACCGGUGCCAGCCGCCGCGGUAAUCCCGGCGGUCCAAGUCGCAUCCACAUUUAUUGGGUCUAAAACAUCCGUAGCUUGUUUUGUAAGUCUCUUGUGAAAUUUUAUAUCUCAAAUAUAAAGCGUGCAAGAGAUACUACAUUGCUAGAGACCGGGAGACGCAAAGAGUACGACGGAGGUAGCGGUAAAAUGUGUUAAUCUCUGCCGGACUAACAAUGGCGAAGGCACUUUGCGAGUACGGAUCUGACAGUGAGGGAUGAAGGCUAGGGGCGCAAAAGGGAUUAGAUACCCUAGUAGUC
Molecule: ribosomal RNA, 420 nt
Filed under: uncultured archaeon
Lineage: Archaea
Description: partial 16S ribosomal RNA
Rfam family: Archaeal small subunit ribosomal RNA
Source: RNAcentral